Elaeis guineensis (African oil palm) is the source of this 2171-nucleotide RNA transcript. It is a transcript of the gene named F-box/LRR-repeat protein 17, with no coding region annotated. The record is from RefSeq and is a predicted model, not a curated record. Lineage: Eukaryota; Viridiplantae; Streptophyta; Magnoliopsida; Arecales; Arecaceae.
AAUUAACUCUAAUCUCCCGCCCCUAUUCCGACAGCCUCCUGCUCUCUCCCACUUUCUCUAUUUCGUCCCCUCCACCUCCUCACUCCAUUCCCCCUCUCUCUUGCCGCCUCCCCUUCUCUCUCUUUACCCUCCGAACUUUCGGGAUCCGGAUGCUCGGCGAGUCUCCCUCGGCCGCCAUCGCCUGCUCCGCCGCGCCCAAGCGGGGCGCGCCGAAGAAGCGGGGCAACUACAACUGCGGACGAUGCGGCCUCCCGAAGAAGGGCCACGUUUGCCCCGCCGGCGAUGGCCACGUCCUCCCCCCUCGCUCUGAUCACCGCCUCCGCCGUUCCCUCUCCUUUGACGAGGACCGGACUCCGGCACCCGUCUCGGCGACGCCAGCGAUGGAGGAGGAGGAGGUAGCGGAGACUUCGGUGGCUGCGGCGCCGGCGGCGGCGGAUGAGGAGGAGGUGGAGGUGGGCGGCGGGGUUCUGCCGGUGUCAUGCCUGGUGGAGGUACUGAGGCGGCUGUCGCCCAAGGAGCUGAUGGGGGCGGCGGCGGUCUGCCGGGGAUGGAUGGAGUGCGUGAAGAGAGUAUGGCGAUCCGCGGAGGAGCUUAGGCUUAGGGUUUCUCCUCGAUCUCAGAUCGGUUUCGUUGGAUCGGUGCUCCACAAGUGUGCCGGACUGGCCCGGCUUACGCUGAGGAUAGAAAGUGAUGUUGAUGCUACAUUGCUAGCUUGUGUUGCAUUCUCGUGCCCUAGUUUAGAAGCUUUUGAGAUCAAUAUUGGCGACAAUGCAGUCAAUCAGAUAACUGGGGAUGAAUUGGGUCGUUUUGUUGCUGAGAAACGGUGUCUUUCAAUUCUGAAAGUGGAGGGUUGCACUAGUCUUGGGUUUCUCAACCUCUAUUCUUCAAGCCUGUCAAUUCUCUGGCUUUCAGACCUUUGUUGCAUUUCAAAAAUGGUUAUUAGCUGUCCUAAUCUGAAAGAGCUUUCUCUUGAUUUUACUCGACAAGAAAAUGAUUCUACAGAUCUUGUUACUGUUAUGGAUAGUUUGGGCCGUACCUGUCCACGACUGAGAAAUAUGCAUAUUGCAUCAAUUCAACUUUGUAAUGAAGCUGUGCUUGCUUUAGCAAGCACAAACCUAAGGGUCAGGGGCUUGCGCAUGCUGUCACUUGUUCUUGGUUCAAGGAUCACAGAUGCAGCUGUGGCUGCUAUAGUUUCAAGUUAUUCAAGUCUAGAGUUGCUUGACUUGAGUGGGUCAAGCAUUAGUGACAGUGGGAUUGGAAUGAUAUGCAAUACAUUCUCUCAGACGCUAUCUAGACUCCUCCUUGCUCUCUGUCCUAACAUUACUUCAAGUGGAAUCCAAUUUGCUACAGCACAAUUACCACUUCUUCAGCUAAUUGACUGUGGGAUGAGCAUAUGUGCCAUUAACUCUCAAUAUGAAAGUCCUGAAGAAAAUGGGUUGAUUGGUAAUGAAGGUAGCGGAGAACUCGGAAGGUGUCAGAAAUCACCUAUGCCAAAGCCACAACCAAUUUACCAAAAACUAAUUAUAAAACAUGGGUGUUUGAGAAAGAUCAGUUUAUGGGGUUGUUCUGGUUUAGAUGUAUCAGUCUGUGGCUAUCUUCAUUCAGGAUUAGACGCCAAAAUAAAUUCUCAUUAUCAAUUUUAUGCUUUGCAAAAUUUUCCCCAGAGAGGUUGUUGCUCCAGUGUCCCAAUUUGGAACAUGUACACGCUUCUGGGUGUCAAGAUAUGUUAAUUGGAGCAAUCCGAAACCAGGUUCUUAAUGAGUUUGCUGCUGUUCAAAACCAUUUACCAUGCAAGCGGCUUGCUGAUGGCUCCAAAAGGGUUCAGGUCCCUGGAUAUCCUCUCCAGCAGCCAUCUGAUGAUGGGAAGCACAAAAGGUUGCGGCAGACCCCGUGCACUAUGCAUCUUGAUUGAUGAUUCUCUUGUAUACCUUUCAGACUGAUCCCGUCCUAGCAGUUGCAAUCUGUUUAUUACUGGUGAUGUUCUCACUUACUGUUGAACUGUAGACCUGAAACUCCAAUUUGUGUUGUCUCGACUGUAUUUCUGGGCUGCUUUCAUCAUUCCAGAUAAAUGGGUUUGCCUUUGUAAAACGGGACUGUUUGUCGUAGAGGAAUAAAUUGCAGCCUACAUGUCUAACUUUUCUUUUCAGAAAUAAAGUUUAACAUGAUUGAAA